AGUCCCGUAGUCCAACGGUACGACGCCAGUGAACUUCGGCUCGAGAGAUUAUCCGCUGGAAAUUGCGGGUUCAAUUCCCGCCGGGGCGA
Mycena olivaceomarginata is the source of this 89-nucleotide non-coding RNA. The record is from the annotation of a GenBank genome assembly. NCBI's taxonomy places the organism in Eukaryota, Fungi, Basidiomycota, Agaricomycetes, Agaricales, Mycenaceae.